This 440-nucleotide ribosomal RNA is filed under the name uncultured bacterium. RNAcentral's name for it is "partial 16S ribosomal RNA". It matches the Rfam family "Bacterial small subunit ribosomal RNA", at positions 338 to 795 of the family's 1533-position model. The record is from RNAcentral.
CCUACGGGAGGCAGCAGUGGGGAAUAUUGGACAAUGGGGGAAACCCUGAUCCAGCGACGCCGCGUGAGUGAAGAAGGAUUUCGGUACGUAAAGCACUAUCAGCAGGAAAGAAAAUGACGGUACCUGACUAAGAAGCCACGGCUAACCACGGACCAGCAGCCGCGGUAAUACGUGGGGGGCAAGCGUUAUCCGGAUUUACGGGGUGGAAAGGGAGCGUAGACGGCAGCGCAAGUCUGGAGCGAAAGGCCGGGGCCCAACCCCGGAACUGCUCUGGAAACUGGGAAGCUGGAGUGCAGGAGAGGUAAGCGGAAUUCCUGGUGUAGCGGUGAAAUGCGUAGAUAGCAGGAGGAACACCGGCGGCGAAGGCGGCUUACUGGACUGUAACUGACGUUGAGGCUCGAAGGCGUGGGGAGCAAACAGGAUUAGAUACCCCGGUAGUC